Molecule: ribosomal RNA, 303 nt
Filed under: Triticum aestivum (bread wheat)
Lineage: Eukaryota; Viridiplantae; Streptophyta; Magnoliopsida; Poales; Poaceae
Description: partial small subunit ribosomal RNA
Source: RNAcentral
AUGGCUCGCGUCGUCGCCGCCGCGCUGCUUCUCCUGUUCCUCCUCCUUGCUUCGUCGUCCGCGGCCUUUGCCGUCACGGUGCUUGGCCGCAAAGGCAGUACCGCGGCGGAGGGGCCCGUGCAGUUUCCGGGGGUGGGCAAGUACACCGUGAUCUUCGAUGCCGGGAGCACAGGCACGCGCGUGCAUGUCUUUAAGUUUGACAACAAGAUGGACCUCCUUGAGAUCGGCGACGACAUCGAUCACAUACCAAAGAGGCUGGGUGAUGCCACGGGCGAUGGCCAACCCUGUGCGUGCGGCGCCUAG